AUUGAACGCUGGCGGCAGGCCUACACAUGGAAGUCGAGCGGGUGAAGGGAGCUUUCUCCUGGAUUCAGCGGCGGACGGGUGGGUAAUGCCUAGGAAUCUUCCUGGUAGUGGGGGAUAACGUCCGGAAACGGGCGCUAAUACCGCAUACGUCCUGAGGGAGGAAGUGGGGGAUUUUCGGACCUCACGCUAUCAGAUGAGCCUAGGUCGGAUUAGCUAGUUGGUGGGGUAAAGGCCUACCAAGGCGACGAUCCGUAACUGGUCUGAGAGGAUGAUCAGUCACACUGGAACUGAGACACGGUCCAGACUCCUACGGGAGGCAGCAGUGGGGAAUAUUGGACAAUGGGCGAAAGCCUGAUCCAGCCAUGCCGCGUGUGUGAAGAAGGUCUUCGGAUUGUAAAGCACUUUAAGUUGGGAGGAAGGGCAGUAAGUUAAUACCUUGCUGUUUUGACGUUACCAACAGAAUAAGCACCGGCUAACUUCGUG
RNAcentral lists this ribosomal RNA (483 nucleotides) under uncultured bacterium. RNAcentral's name for it is "partial 16S ribosomal RNA". It matches the Rfam family "Bacterial small subunit ribosomal RNA", at positions 30 to 507 of the family's 1533-position model. The record is from RNAcentral.